Molecule: ribosomal RNA, 719 nt
Filed under: Chryseobacterium indologenes
Lineage: Bacteria; Pseudomonadati; Bacteroidota; Flavobacteriia; Flavobacteriales; Weeksellaceae
Description: bacterial SSU rRNA
Rfam family: Bacterial small subunit ribosomal RNA
Source: RNAcentral
CUGCCAUUGAUACUGCAGGUCUUGAGUGUUGUUGAAGUAGCUGGAAUAAGUAGUGUAGCGGUGAAAUGCAUAGAUAUUACUUAGAACACCAAUUGCGAAGGCAGGUUACUAAGCAACAACUGACGCUGAUGGACGAAAGCGUGGGGAGCGAACAGGAUUAGAUACCCUGGUAGUCCACGCCGUAAACGAUGCUAACUCGUUUUUGGGGCGUAAGCUUCAGAGACUAAGCGAAAGUGAUAAGUUAGCCACCUGGGGAGUACGAACGCAAGUUUGAAACUCAAAGGAAUUGACGGGGGCCCGCCCAAGCGGUGGAUUAUGUGGUUUAAUUCGAUGAUACGCGAGGAACCUUACCAAGGCUUAAAUGGGAAAUGACAGGUUUAGAAAUAGACUUUUCUUCGGACAUUUUUCAAGGUGCUGCAUGGUUGUCGUCAGCUCGUGCCGUGAGGUGUUAGGUUAAGUCCUGCAACGAGCGCAACCCCUGUCACUAGUUGCCAUCAUUAAGUUGGGGACUCUAGUGAGACUGCCUACGCAAGUAGAGAGGAAGGUGGGGAUGACGUCAAAUCAUCACGGCCCUUACGCCUUGGGCCACACACGUAAUACAAUGGCCGGUACAGAGGGCAGCUACACAGCGAUGUGAUGCAAAUCUCGAAAGCCGGUCUCAGUUCGGAUUGGAGUCUGCAACUCGACUCUAUGAAGCUGGAAUCGCUAGUAAUCGCGCA